Molecule: ribosomal RNA, 301 nt
Filed under: uncultured bacterium
Lineage: Bacteria
Description: partial 16S ribosomal RNA
Rfam family: Bacterial small subunit ribosomal RNA
Source: RNAcentral
CAGUCGCCGCGGUAAUACGUAGGGUGCAAGCGUUAAUCGGAAUUACUGGGCGUAAAGCGUGCGCAGGCGGUUAUAUAAGACAGAUGUAAAAUCCCCGGGCUCAACCUGGGAACUGCAUUUGUGACUGUAUAGCUAGAGUACGGCAGAGGGGGAUGGAAUUCCGCGUGUAGCAGUGAAAUGCGUAGAUAUGCGGAGGAACACCGAUGGCGAAGGCAAUCCCCUGGGCCUGUACUGACGCUCAUGCACGAAAGCGUGGGGAGCAAACAGGAUUAGAUACCCCUGUAGUCCCUGUCUCUUAUAC